AGGAAGCAGGGCCAGCCCGGUUAUGCAAGCCUGAUGGGUGAUAAGGAAGCAAAAGAGCAACAGACGUGCACAGACCACAGCACGGCUCCGCGAGCAGGAGGAGGGACGUUACUGAGGCAAGACCAACUCACCCUGGACAACAGACACGGGGCCAGGUGGAGCAGACAGCCCCAGCUGCACACCCCCUGGUUCUGGCAGAGGCACUCAGAUGUCACAGGGAGCCCUCAUCACAGCUCAGACACGACCAGAUCACAGGAUGGCUGUGCAAGCAGGAGGACGGGACCCAGCCUCUGGCCCCCAGAUGCUAAAAUCCCCACCAAAAAGAGAAAGUUAAGUACUUGAUGACCAUGAGGACCUUGGCCUGAGGAUUGAUGCUCACCCCUGUGACACCACUCUGUUACCUCAUCAUCAAUCAAUCAGAGAAUUAUGCAGGAUGUGAUCACAUACUCUGCAACUCCCCUCCAGCACCUUGACUUUAAAAAUGCUUCCUUGAAAUACACCAGGGAGUUCUAGCUUUUAGAGCAUGAGCUGACCCAGUCUCCUCGUCUGGCGCCUUACCACAAUUCAGUGUCAGUAGUUGGCUUUACUGUGCGGGGGCGAGCGGACCAGACCCAAGUUUGGUUCCCUAACACUCCUACAGUUUAUAUCCUAGUAUUAAAGUGCGUAAGUCAAUUAAGCCUGUUGGAAGGCAAGAGUCCCACGGGAAAAGUAGAAGUAGGGGAAAGAGUAUAAAAUGGAGAGACUGCAAAUUUAAAUAAUCACUUAAAUAAAAACACGAACGAGAGACACAGGUACCCAAAGGGAAGAGUGGACCGGACAAAAACCCGUGCACAGGGUCUGGUGGUAGCGUCACGUGCAAGACCGCAGAGCCUCCGAGAAGCCGGCGUUGCUGGGCAGAGAGCGUC
This is a non-coding RNA of Vicugna pacos (alpaca), 905 nucleotides long. Lineage: Eukaryota; Metazoa; Chordata; Mammalia; Artiodactyla; Camelidae. The record is from RefSeq and is a predicted model, not a curated record.